AACGGAUAUCUUGGCUCUCGCAUCGAUGAAGAACGUAGCGAAAUGCGAUACUUGGUGUGAAUUGCAGAAUCCCGUGAACCAUCGAGUCUUUGAACGCAAGUUGCGCCCAAAGCCAUUAGGCCGAGGGCACGUCUGCCUGGGCGUCACACA
This 150-nucleotide ribosomal RNA is filed under the name Staphylea trifolia. RNAcentral describes it as "5.8S ribosomal RNA". It matches the Rfam family "5.8S ribosomal RNA". From Rfam's summary of the family: 5.8S ribosomal RNA (5.8S rRNA) is a component of the large subunit of the eukaryotic ribosome. It is transcribed by RNA polymerase I as part of the 45S precursor that also contains 18S and 28S rRNA. Functionally, it is thought that 5.8S rRNA may be involved in ribosome translocation. The record is from RNAcentral. Lineage: Eukaryota; Viridiplantae; Streptophyta; Magnoliopsida; Crossosomatales; Staphyleaceae. RNAcentral also lists the same sequence under 2 other names.